AACUUCCUGGGGUGUUCGACAAUCCUGCUAUUUUGAACCUACAUUUACUUUUAUGGGAUUCUUAUAUCGCCACAGGUGAUGCCAGGCCGCCUCGAAUCAGCGGAAGGCAGAGCUUGCGGCUGCGGUUACCCACCUAGCUUUGCUAGGAGUCAAAGUGCAGGAAACGGCAUUCUGGGUGUCU
RNAcentral lists this non-coding RNA (181 nucleotides) under Eubacteriales bacterium. Its description in RNAcentral is "6S RNA". It matches the Rfam family "6S / SsrS RNA". Rfam says of the family: E. coli 6S RNA was the first non coding RNA to be sequenced, but its function was unknown until recently. It consists of 184 nucleotides that fold into an extended hairpin structure with a large single-stranded internal bulge. Lineage: Bacteria; Bacillati; Bacillota; Clostridia; Eubacteriales. The record is from RNAcentral.